GUAUGAAUAAUGAUUUAUGAUUAAUCCCCAAGGCCUGCCAGCGUAGAGUAUCGAUUCGUUUAAUGAAACUGCAGCCACUCGAAUCUUCCAUGACGAGCUGCGGGCGACACCGCCCGGGCCUCGGUAAUCCCAGCUUCUGCCAUCGUCUCGUCGGCUCGUGCAAGAGCAGGGUCGAGCGCAGACACGUCAAAGUGGCGGCGACAGCGAAGCCAGAGGCGUUCCUCCUGUCCCCGGAGAAGACGCGACGCCGCGAAGCUCUAACAGGUUGGCAACAAGAGCAUUGAGGUCGUGGGCCCACGGACGGCCGGCCAGUUCUCGCAGAGCAUCCAACAGUUCAGUGAUGACCUGCCUCCAGACCUUAAUCCAUGUGUCGACCGUUUCAAAUAAUCACGCCAAUGGCUGACUGGACGGACUAGGACUAUUUGGGUCUUCAGAAGCCUUCAUUGUCACGCCCUCUAACUAACAAUAAGACGGAACCGCUGCCGUACUGACCUAAGCCACGCCCACUGCGCUCACGACCUCCGGCGUAGCCUUGACCCGUACAAAUCACUCUACCCCGAGUCACGCUCCCGUUCGGACGCGGCCUCCUCCUGGGGGUCACCCUCCAUGGGCCCCCACCUUGCCGGGCCUAUUCGUUGCCGGCUACGUUACCGACACCCUAUACCAGUAAUAAAACAUACAACCGGACCGUGCGUUUAACCAACACGACCCUGAAAUAUUGGUGGACAGCAGUGACAACAAACACCUCACACUCUCUC
This is a long non-coding RNA of Penaeus chinensis, 758 nucleotides long. RefSeq lists it as uncharacterized. The transcript is spliced from 3 exons. The record is from RefSeq and is a predicted model, not a curated record. NCBI's taxonomy places the organism in Eukaryota, Metazoa, Arthropoda, Malacostraca, Decapoda, Penaeidae.